Molecule: non-coding RNA, 2142 nt
Filed under: Pan troglodytes (chimpanzee)
Lineage: Eukaryota; Metazoa; Chordata; Mammalia; Primates; Hominidae
Source: RNAcentral
AAAUGGCGGCUUCAAUAUCAGCCCCACUGAGCAUGAAAUUCAUUUACUUAAAUAAAAUCUGAAUCUCAGCCCAAACCUGGGAGAUUCAAAACCUGAGAGCGGUCUUACCAAAGACGCCCGUAUGUCUGGUGAAGUCAGUUGGAUGCAAGCAGUUUGUGCUGGUACCAGGGCCCCAGCUACUGAUGAAGUGGCAGGAGUCCACGGAAGCCUACUUCGAAGUUCCCGGGGCUUCCAGGGGAGAUUGACGAGAUUCCUGGGGAGGCGAUUCAUGACAGCUGAGUUCCUUUUGGAGGAUCCGUCUUCAGGCAGUCUGAUCCCCCAGGAAAGCAGCUGGAAAACAAGAGCAUGUGAAGGAAGCGCGGCAGCUCCUCGCCAGCCAGCCAGCCAGCCCCGCACCACAGGAGUCGACAUGCACGGCAGCCUAGACGCCAUCAGUUAAACUUAUAUGUAGGCUUGUUGAGGAAAACGACUUUCAAACACAAGGCAAAAGAAAAACAUGAAACCAAGGGUUCCAACAUUCAUCACCCAGUUUCAGAGACACCCUUGUAGGAAUGCUACAGCCUCUUUCUUACCCAUUCAAACCAGUCGCUCUGCUGCAUACCCACAUCACAGGAGGCCCUCAGCCCCGACACACAGGCUCACUCAGCCCAGACACACAGGCUCACUCAGCCCAGGGACAUCAGCACCUGUGCCAGCUCCGCAAGGUAUCCACCACGUGGCCAGAACUGAGGCCCAGCAAUAGCUGAAAUGUCCUUUAAAUUAACAUGUACAACACACAACCCCCAAGAGCUGACAUCCCCAAAGCCCCACCACAAAUAGCUGACUCCUACUUAUACCUGCAGGAGCAGGUACUGACCUCUGCAAUUCUAAACCGUCCACUUUGGGCAAAAUUCAUCAAGCUAUGGAUAUGAAAAAAGGCCCCCAAGGAUAUGAUUCAUAGUCCAGCGUUUGAGUGAGCACUCCAGUCAGAACGAACUCUGCAUUGUGAACAUCUGAACAGGGUGGAAACAGACACUUGUUAGAGAUCCACUGCUGUGCGUGCACACAUACUCACACAGGAAAAGAAAAUGAGUUUCUCAGUGACCGAACACUGAAUGUGAUACAGGGCAAUGACGGACUCGCUGGCGGACUCCACUCUACCCACCGAGUUCUGCUUGUGCUCCAUGAGCUUCCGGAAAGAUGGCUGCUUGGAUAACACCUUUCCUCCUGCACACUCUACAAUUGCCUUCAUAGUGGAAAGACUUGGGCAGAUUCCAGUAAAGAAAAGUUCUCUAGAGAUGUGCUGUGGUUCACAGGAGGAAGACCUCCAGUGGCAAUGUCCAAGAAGGAAGCCAAGAGUGUACCUUAAAGAGUGGAGAAACGUGUGCCCGUUUUAAGGAUUCUUCCAAGCUGAAAGAGAAAAGUACUUCUGCCUCAGCAUCUCGGAGAAUGUAGUUCUGCUCAUCUGGAAAACAGAACAGCACAUACUCUGAAAAGUGUGGACACGUGAAGUGUGGCAAGUGUGACCCACAAAAUUCUCGUCCAUAUUCAGCGUAUGGACCAGUUUGCUGACUGCUGGGCAGGAGCAACCACAUCAUGACAGAAAUGCAGGGAUCUGUUCACCAACGGCCAGAAAUACAAAAUCAAUCCCUGAGUCAACCAGCAGAUAGAAAGGCUGCUUUUUAGGUGAAAGGAGAAAAAGAAUGUCUAAAAUUUGGAAAAACAAAACAUGAUGAAUUAAAAAAGGAACAAAAAAAGUACUGUUACACAUGAGAUGGUAUAUUUGAAGUGUUACUUUCAAAGCUGAUAUGCCUUCUGAAGAACUUGUGUGAGAUCACCAAGAAUAGUUAAUGUUUAUGACAGAGAAAACACCACCGGGCGCGGUGGCUCACGCCUAUAAUCCCAGCACUUUGGGAGGCCGAGGUGGGCGGAUCUCUUGAGGUCAGGAGUUCAAGACCAGCCUGGCCAACAUGGUGAAACCCUGUCUCUACUAAAAGAUACAAAAAAAUUUAGCCAGGCGUCGUCGUGGUGGGCGCCUGCAGUCCCAGCUACUAGGGAGGCUGAGGCAGGAGAAUGGCUUGAACCCAGGAGGCAGAGGUUGUAGUAAGCCAAUGGCACCACUCUACUCCAGCCUGAGCAACAGACUGGGUGAGACUCUGUCUU